Marmota flaviventris (yellow-bellied marmot) is the source of this 575-nucleotide long non-coding RNA. RefSeq lists it as uncharacterized. The record is from RefSeq and is a predicted model, not a curated record. NCBI's taxonomy places the organism in Eukaryota, Metazoa, Chordata, Mammalia, Rodentia, Sciuridae.
CAGGGGAGCUGAAGGCAGAAGGCCCAACCUGAGUCCAGAGGCCAGAGGACCAGGAGCCUCCAUGUCCAAGGGCAGGAGAAGACAUGUCCCAGCUCGGCAGAGAGAAGAUCCACCCUUCCUCUCCCUGUCACCCUGUUCCGACACUGUGCCCGCUGCAACCCCCAUCAAGGAGUAAGAAGAGAGGUUUGAGUCCUUCUCAUCCAGGGACGGAGACACUGCCACGGUACCCCAAAGGGCUCCAGUUACCCAGUUUUACACAUCGGUGGGGAAGACGGCUGCAGAGGAACCCACAGCACUGUGAGCACUGGCCGGGUCCCUGGAAUGACGGAGCCCUUAGGCGCCAGCCUCAGCACUCUCCGCAGACCCUGCGGGAGCCGAAGACCCUGGGUUCCUGGGUGCCGUUUCCCACGAGGCUUCAGGUGCCUGCACUGCCAUGGCAGGCUGGAGAUGUCACGAAGACUAUUUCCAAACGUCACACCUAAUCAGCCACUGAAAACAUCCAGUGCCGUGACAUUCAGAUGACGCAAUUCACUCACUUGCCUAGAAUGAGUAAAAAUCUUAAUAUUUGUUCUCAA